RNAcentral lists this ribosomal RNA (757 nucleotides) under Priestia megaterium. RNAcentral's name for it is "bacterial SSU rRNA". It matches the Rfam family "Bacterial small subunit ribosomal RNA", at positions 50 to 786 of the family's 1533-position model. Lineage: Bacteria; Bacillati; Bacillota; Bacilli; Caryophanales; Bacillaceae. The record is from RNAcentral.
AAUACAUGGCAAGUCGGAGCGAACUGAUUAGAAGCUUGCUUCUAUGACGUUAGCGGCGGACGGGUGAGUAACACGUGGGCAACCUGCCUGUAAGACUGGGAUAACUUCGGGAAACCGAAGCUAAUACCGGAUAGGAUCUUCUCCUUCAUGGGAGAUGAUUGAAAGAUGGUUUCGGCUAUCACUUACAGAUGGGCCCGCGGUGCAUUAGCUAGUUGGUGAGGUAACGGCUCACCAAGGCAACGAUGCAUAGCCGACCUGAGAGGGUGAUCGGCCACACUGGGACUGAGACACGGCCCAGACUCCUACGGGAGGCAGCAGUAGGGAAUCUUCCGCAAUGGACGAAAGUCUGACGGAGCAACGCCGCGUGAGUGAUGAAGGCUUUCGGGUCGUAAAACUCUGUUGUUAGGGAAGAACAAGUACGAGAGUAACUGCUUGUACCUUGACGGUACCUAACCAGAAAGCCACGGCUAACUACGUGCCAGCAGCCGCGGUAAUACGUAGGUGGCAAGCGUUAUCCGGAAUUAUUGGGCGUAAAGCGCGCGCAGGCGGUUUCUUAAGUCUGAUGUGAAAGCCCACGGCUCAACCGUGGAGGGUCAUUGGAAACUGGGGAACUUGAGUGCAGAAGAGAAAAGCGGAAUUCCACGUGUAGCGGUGAAAUGCGUAGAGAUGUGGAGGAACACCAGUGGCGAAGGCGGCUUUUUGGUCUGUAACUGACGCUGAGGCGCGAAAGCGUGGGGAGCAAACAGGAUUAGAUACU